AGGGAAGAGAUAGUAAAUUACUUAAGGGGGGAAAAAGAACCUUUAGUACUCCUUAAACAUCCAUUGUACUUCUUUAGAUGUGAGUCUGCGAUCAAAGCAGAAAUCCUCCAGGUAAGCAAAACACUUGGCCCCCUCCUUCUUUUGACCCAUGCUGCUUUGAUUUCUUUCCAGACUAAACACUGCAAACCCCUCUGACCUUGAGCUAUGUGCUUUUGUAGUGAUAAAGAUCUGUAAUCUGGGCAAGGUGGGUGAAAAGGAUUCCUUAUCUCCAGCGAGCCAUUUUAUGAAGUGCAGCCAAUAAGAAAUCAAUAAGAGGCUACUACACAAUAUGAUUAAGUAAUGCAUAGAUAAAAGAGCAGAGAGAGAGGAUCAGAGAGUCGAGCAAACUGGGUCCCUCAAAUGAUAUAUCAGCUCGUUGUUAUUUUGUACCUACAGCAAGGACUUAUGGGUGCAUCUGUCACACUUUACGACCGUGGUUGAAAUGUUGGACUGAAGACAGAAGCAGAGUUUGAUGAUAGUGUUGUGCUCUGAACUAGAUACAUGGAUGCAGGAAUAAUAUCAGUCACAUGGAUGGUGCUUAAGAUUCCAAAGCAGCUGGGUACCCCACCCCACUUAGAGCCAACAUGACCACUACUUUGCUCUGCACUAGGAUUCAGCAACACCAGCCUUUCCCUCAGCUAGAUGACCAUUAACUCGAGAAAGGACUGUUUUACCUUUAAAUAGGGGAAGAGUUGAGUAACACUCUUGAAUCUUGUAUCCAAAGAUUCCCUAGGACUGAAGGAAAGACUUCUUCCAUGAAAGCAAGAGAGCUUUUUGAUCCAGCCCACUCUGAGAGCCAACAUUAUCCUCUAACAUAGUCUAUUCCUUUUAAAUGCCUCCUUCACAAUUGAUGCCACCAACUUCGGAACUCUCUCCCCAGAAAGGUUUGCCUGGCUGCAAUAACAGCAGCAAGAAUAUUAUUGGCCCAAAAAUGGAAGCAAGAAGAAUUACCGACGAUUGAAGAAUGGAGGAUGAAGUUAAUGGACUAUGCAGAACUAGAUAAACUAACAGGAAGGAUUUGAAACCGGCGGGACCAGAAAUUCACGGAAGACGAGUAAAUUUACGGACUAUUUGAAAAGUAUUUGUGCAGAUCAGAUGACGUUUGUAGGUUUGCAAGAAGUUUUGUGAGGAGUAUUAUUGCA
This 1181-nucleotide long non-coding RNA is filed under the name Podarcis muralis (Common wall lizard). RNAcentral describes it as "lncRNA (ENSPMRG00000005388.1)". Lineage: Eukaryota; Metazoa; Chordata; Lepidosauria; Squamata; Lacertidae. The record is from RNAcentral.